UUGUUGUCCUUAAGCCACUCUAUGGUGCUACGCUAAGGGACUUUGUCCAUUUGGGUCCACGCUUUAACGUCCUGGCUGAUGUCUUCAGAUGUAGCUUUAAUAUUUCUACAUAAUGACAUCUAUUUUGUGAAGUGCACCAGUCUCUUGCGAAGUAUUCACCAAUCUUCUAAAGGAUUUGGUGGCCAAACAAUUGCAAAGCUACAAAACUUUAAGGAACAUAA
Long non-coding RNA from Fundulus heteroclitus (mummichog), 221 nucleotides. RefSeq lists it as uncharacterized. The record is from RefSeq and is a predicted model, not a curated record. The transcript is spliced from 2 exons. Lineage: Eukaryota; Metazoa; Chordata; Actinopteri; Cyprinodontiformes; Fundulidae.